CAAAGUGUAGCUUAAACUAAAGCAUUCGGCCUACACCCGAAAGAUCUCAUCAACAAAUGAUCGCUUUGA
This 69-nucleotide transfer RNA is filed under the name Ateles belzebuth (white-bellied spider monkey). RNAcentral's name for it is "tRNA-Val". It matches the Rfam family "tRNA". Rfam says of the family: Transfer RNA (tRNA) molecules are approximately 80 nucleotides in length. Their secondary structure includes four short double-helical elements and three loops (D, anti-codon, and T loops). RNAcentral also lists the same sequence under 4 other names. The record is from RNAcentral. Lineage: Eukaryota; Metazoa; Chordata; Mammalia; Primates; Atelidae.